Oryctolagus cuniculus (rabbit) is the source of this 1264-nucleotide non-coding RNA. Lineage: Eukaryota; Metazoa; Chordata; Mammalia; Lagomorpha; Leporidae. The record is from RefSeq and is a predicted model, not a curated record.
ACCUGGUGUAUCUGGCUCAGAAAAAAAAAAAAAAUAAUUCCUGUAAUCAGGAUCCUUCCCCCCAGUUUAUGGGGCAACAGGCAGUGAUCCAUUUGGGAUCCACUGAGCAUCUUUGAGAAGGCAAUCAAAUCUCUCUUCCAUGGAAAACCUGAAAUAUCUCCUGGAGUUAGUCUUUGUUCUCAUCGUUCCUCUGAAACAUGAAUCCCAGAAAUUGUGGUAAAUUCAAGUCUUAUCAAUUUUACAAAGACCUGAGUCAGGGAGAACACAAACAUGUAAAAUCUCAAGAAGAAAAAAAAUGUGUCACAGGUGAUGCAUGAGAACGUGAGAGGGAGUGUGAACCCCUUGCUUCUAGCUUUGAACCACCAUCGCCUGAGUUUGUUUCUGUUGGGUUUUGAACAUUUUCAACAACCCAGUGUGAUCUCCGCCAGGUGUCAGCGUGGCCAUUGGAGAUGCGGCGGCCCAGCGACAUCUGCCUGACCUUUCUGAUUUGAGAAUAAAAGUCUACGCGGCUCUUGGGGACCUGUGCACUCCCUUUGGCUCCCGUAUCCUGAGUCUAGGGUAUAUCAACGGCACGGCUUUCACUGACAGUGUGCGCAAGCGCACUUCACGCAUUGGCAGCUUCUGUGGAUAUGACGGUUACAGUCACAGACCGACGCAAGAGCAAAAAUCCCUGACUUCUGGAGAAGCCGCAUGACCGAGAGAGGCCCUGGGAGAUGACCCCAGCUGGAGCACAGGGGAUGCAAUAGGGAGACACUGCCGGAGGGUGCUUGAAAUGGAAGGAGUUGGCUGAACCAGAGCAGUGGCUGGAGGAACGGAUGGGAGGAACAAUUUUGUGAGGCUCCUCUGAACUUUCGGAGAUAUCCUUUGUUACCAGCAUGGGGCGAAAGAGCCAAAUGGGACCUCAGGAAAGAUAACAUAAACUGAAAGUAAAGGAAUGGAACAAGAUACACCAUGCAAGUGGAAAUGAAAAGCAAGCCAAAGUACCUAUAUUUAUAACAGUGGUUGCCUCCAGAAAUUCCUAUAAGCUUUGCUCUUCACCUUGGGUAUUCUCACCCAUAUAAAGUAAGCAACAAAUGAUGCAGCCACAGGAUCUCCAUGUAGAGGUGUCUCAUGGCUGACAAGAUGUGUUGGAAGAAAGCCUGUUUACAGAGACCAUCCUGGUGCCUGUGGGAACUCUACUGAAUUACCCAAUUGUAUAAGCUCAGUUUCCACGUUCUCAAAAUUGGAAUAUAAUACUUAUCUCACAGGAUUGGAAUAAAGGUUA